CCCUUAGAUGUUCUGGGCCGCACACGCGCUACACUGAAGGAGGCAGCGUGUACUCCUGGAUCGAAAGAUUUGGGUAACCCGCGAAUCUCCUUCGUGCUAGGGAUUGAGGUUUGCAAUUAUCCUUCAUGAACGAGGAAUUCCCAGUAAGUGCAAGUCAUAAGCUUGCGCUGACUACGUCCCUGCCCUUUGUACACACCGCCCGUCGCUACUACCGAUUGAAUGAUUUAGUGAGGAUUUCGGACUGGGACUGAUGCGGCUUUCGGGCUGCGUCGGUAUUCUGGAAAGAUGUCCAAACUGUAUCAUUUAGAGGAAGUAAAAGUCGUAACA
RNAcentral lists this ribosomal RNA (327 nucleotides) under uncultured eukaryote. RNAcentral describes it as "partial 18S ribosomal RNA". It matches the Rfam family "Eukaryotic small subunit ribosomal RNA", at positions 1470 to 1796 of the family's 1831-position model. The record is from RNAcentral.